Molecule: ribosomal RNA, 649 nt
Filed under: Zopfia rosatii
Lineage: Eukaryota; Fungi; Ascomycota; Dothideomycetes; Zopfiaceae
Description: SSU rRNA
Rfam family: Eukaryotic small subunit ribosomal RNA
Source: RNAcentral
GAAGGGGUGUAUUUAUUAGAUAAAAAACCAAUGCCCUUCGGGGCUCUUUGGUGAUUCAUGAUAACUUAACGGAUCGCAUGGCCUUGCGCCGGCGACGGUUCAUUCAAAUUUCUGCCCUAUCAACUUUCGAUGGUAAGGUAUUGGCUUACCAUGGUUUCAACGGGUAACGGGGAAUUAGGGUUCGAUUCCGGAGAGGGAGCCUGAGAAACGGCUACCACAUCCAAGGAAGGCAGCAGGCGCGCAAAUUACCCAAUCCCGACACGGGGAGGUAGUGACAAUAAAUACUGAUACAGGGCUCUUUUGGGUCUUGUAAUCGGAAUGAGUACAAUUUAAACCCCUUAACGAGGAACAAUUGGAGGGCAAGUCUGGUGCCAGCAGCCGCGGUAAUUCCAGCUCCAAUAGCGUAUAUUAAAGUUGUUGCAGUUAAAAAGCUCGUAGUUGAACCUUGGGCCUGGCUGGCCGGUCCGCCUCACCGCGUGUACUGGUCCGGCCGGGCCUUUCCUUCUGGAGAGCCGCAUGCCCUUCACUGGGUGUGUCGGGGAACAGGACUUUUACUUUGAAAAAAUUAGAGUGUUCAAAGCAGCCUUUGCUCGAAUACGUUAGCAUGGAAUAAUAGAAUAGGACGUGCGGUCCUAUUUUGUUGGUUUCU